GACCUGCCACUGGCCCUCCCUUCCUUGACACCCAGUUUUGUGGCCUGUCCACACGUGGGAAAGGAGCUUCCCCUUGCCUCUUGUUGCAUGUGGCUUAACUCAGUUCUGUUCUUGCUAUUCUCUGCCCACCAUCUCUGCAGUGUCUACCCUGCUCCCCCAGUCCUGCCCCAGCCCCAGCCCCUUCUGGCAUCCUGCUGGGAGAGGUCUCUGAGAGUGGAUCAUGGGGACCCUGGACAGUUUCUAAGCAUCCUUGCCCCACCCCCCACCCCCGUAGGGGUCUAGGGGCCGUGGAGGUGUGGGGGGGGGAUGCAUUUCGUGGGUUUGGGCGCGGCUUCCUGACCCGUGCUGGGCGGGGCGCCCGCAGGGGCAGGUUCUUCGGGUCUGGGCCUGGCGCCCAGCGGGCGGAGGAGGAUGUGGCAAGCUGAGCCGGGCCCUUUCGCACGGGCUGGGAGCAGGACUUGCUGUAUGAUCCCUGGACGACCGAGGGCGCCUAGGGCUCAUGGCUGCAUCAGGCACCCGGGGGGCGGGCGGCGCCUUCUACCGUCAGAGGGAGGUUGUGUUAGAGCUGCCGCGAUGGCUGGACGGGGGCUGCGAGCGUGCACGCAGGGGCUACCUCUACGGACAGCUGUGCUGCGUAGGUGGGUGCACCCUUAGCUUGCUGGGCUGAAGGGACUGGGCGGCAGAAGCUCUCACCAGGUGGGGCCGGGGAUAGGGGUCGGGUCUGGCCCAGGUGCAGCCCCGCCUCCGAGCUCCGGAAACACCUGGGGAAGGAGGCGGAAACACUUGGGGGAGGAAGGCGUGGGGCGGGGUGAUGAAGUCCAUGCUGGU
Molecule: long non-coding RNA, 828 nt
Filed under: Marmota monax (woodchuck)
Lineage: Eukaryota; Metazoa; Chordata; Mammalia; Rodentia; Sciuridae
Source: RNAcentral